GAUGAAGAACGUAGCGAAAUGCGAUAAGUAAUGUGAAUUGCAGAAUUCAGUGAAUCAUCGAAUCUUUGAACGCACAUUGCGCCCCCUGGUAUUCCGGGGGGCAUGCCUGUCCGAGCGUCAUUACAACCCUCAAGCUCAGCUUGGUAUUGGGCCCCGCCGACCCGGCGGGCCCUAAAGUCAGUGGCGGUGCCGUCCGGCUCCGAGCGUAGUAAUUCUUCUCGCUCUGGAGGUCCGGUCGUGUGCUCGCCAGCAACCCCCAAUUUUUUUCAGGUUGACCUCGGAUCAGGUAGGGAUACCCGCUGAACUUAAGCAUAUCAAUGCGGAGGA
RNAcentral lists this unclassified non-coding RNA (327 nucleotides) under soil metagenome. Its description in RNAcentral is "partial contains 5.8S ribosomal RNA, internal transcribed spacer 2, and large subunit ribosomal RNA". The stretch from base 1 to 120 matches the Rfam family "5.8S ribosomal RNA", at positions 35 to 154 of the family's 154-position model. The record is from RNAcentral.